This 253-nucleotide ribosomal RNA is filed under the name uncultured bacterium. RNAcentral's name for it is "partial 16S ribosomal RNA". It matches the Rfam family "Bacterial small subunit ribosomal RNA", at positions 524 to 776 of the family's 1533-position model. The record is from RNAcentral.
UACAGAGUUCUCAAGCGUUGUUCGGAUUCAUUGGGCGUAAAGGGUGCGUAGGCGGCGCGGUAAGUCGGGUGUGAAAUCUCGGAGCUUAACUCCGAAACUGCAUUCGAUACUGCCGUGCUUGAGGACUGGAGAGGAGACUGGAAUUUACGGUGUAGCGGUGAAAUGCGUAGAUAUCGUAAGGAAGACCAGUGGCGAAGGCGGGUCUCUGGACAGUUCCUGACGCUGAGGAGCGAAAGCGUGGGGAGCGAACAGG